This 465-nucleotide ribosomal RNA is filed under the name uncultured bacterium. Its description in RNAcentral is "partial 16S ribosomal RNA". It matches the Rfam family "Bacterial small subunit ribosomal RNA", at positions 28 to 507 of the family's 1533-position model. The record is from RNAcentral.
GACGAACGCUGGCGGCGUGCUUAACACAUGCAAGUCGAACGGAAAGGCCCCUUUGGGGGUCCUCGAGUGGCGAACGGGUGAGUAACACGUGAGUAACCUGCCCUUGACUUCGGGAUAACUUCAGGAAACUGGGGCUAAUACCGGAUAGGAAUCCUUGCUGCAUGGUGGGGGUUGGAAAGCUUCGGCGGUUUUGGAUGGACUCGCGGCUUAUCGGCUUGUUGGUGGGGUAGUGGCUUACCAAGGCUUUGACGGGUAGCCGGCCUGAGAGGGCGACCGGCCACAUUGGGACUGAGAGACGGCCCAGACUCCGACGGGAGGCAGCAGUGGGGAAUAUUGCACAAGGGGCGGAAGCCUGAUGCAGCAACGCCGCGUGCGGGAUGACGGCCUUCGGGUUGUAAACCGCUUUCAGCAGGGGCGAAGCUUGUGGUGACGGUACCUGCAGAAGAAGCACCGGCUAACUACGUG